RNAcentral lists this ribosomal RNA (253 nucleotides) under uncultured bacterium. Its description in RNAcentral is "partial 16S ribosomal RNA". It matches the Rfam family "Bacterial small subunit ribosomal RNA", at positions 524 to 776 of the family's 1533-position model. The record is from RNAcentral.
UACGUAGGGUGCGAGCGUUGUCCGGAAUUACUGGGCGUAAAGAGCUCGUAGGUGGUUUGUCGCGUUGUUCGUGAAAACCGGGGGCUUAACCCUCGGCGUGCGGGCGAUACGGGCAGACUUGAGUACUGCAGGGGAGACUGGAAUUCCUGGUGUAGCGGUGGAAUGCGCAGAUAUCAGGAGGAACACCGGUGGCGAAGGCGGGUCUCUGGGCAUUACCUGACGCUGAGGAGCGAAAGCGUGGGGAGCGAACAGG